GUCACACAUAUGUUCCUAAAUUUCCCAAGAUCAAUUUGGUCCAAUUUCCUUGACCAGUGUUGGGUUAUCCACCUCUUUCAAUCCAUUCAAACAAUUGCUCCUCUUUUUGUUAUGCUGGUGCAAUGAUGAUGAUCAUAUCACAUUUACCUUAAAUCGAACAACCAUAUUGUAACAGAUCAAACUUUUGAUCCACAUAGUAGUCUAUGGCAAAGUUGUUUGAAGUAGUCUCACUAUUUUCUUCUUCUAAAUUCCCCCUACAAGAGUACAUAGUAGGUGAUAAUGACACUUCAGUCCAAUUCCCUUACAAAAAUUUAGCUCAACUCCUCCUUUUGGCCUUUCCUCGAACAUCUUGUAAACACCGACGGAACUAGGGG
Molecule: long non-coding RNA, 374 nt
Filed under: Panax ginseng (ginseng)
Lineage: Eukaryota; Viridiplantae; Streptophyta; Magnoliopsida; Apiales; Araliaceae
Description: long non-coding RNA (PGIN_LNC004942)
Source: RNAcentral